Molecule: RNA transcript, 4423 nt
Organism: Pezoporus flaviventris
Lineage: Eukaryota; Metazoa; Chordata; Aves; Psittaciformes; Psittacidae
Gene: CELF4
Gene name: CUGBP Elav-like family member 4
Exons: 16
Source: RefSeq, a predicted model, not a curated record
GGGCAGACAGACAGGGGGGUGGUUGGAUGGGAGGAGGGGGUUUAGCCAGUGUAAAGGCAAAAGCGAUCCCCCACCCCCAGCCUCCCUUCCCCGCACACACACACAUCCACACACUCACACCCCACCCCCUAGUCUGGCUGGGAAUUUGAACCGAUCCAGCCUGUUUAAACGGAAAGGACACAGAUCUUCAAUGUAAAAAAAAAAUCAGAUCAGACCCAGAGAGAGAGAGAGACGGAGAGGGAGGAGUGUGUGUGAGAGAGAGAGUGUGUGUGAAAGAGGGAGAGGGAGCAAGAGAGCGAGAGAGAGGGAGAGAGAGAGGGAGAGAGAGGGAGGGAGAGAGAAAAGAAGAGGGGGAAAAAAAGGAAAGAAGAUUUUCUCUAUGUAUAUAAAGAUGGCCACGUUAGCAAACGGACAACCAGACAAUACCAGCCUGAGUAGCAAUCACAGCAACCCCAGCACCAACGGGCAUAUGAACGGAUUAAACCAUAGUCCCGGAAACCCAUCCACCAUCCCAAUGAAGGACCACGAUGCCAUUAAGCUCUUUAUUGGGCAGAUCCCCCGUAACCUGGACGAGAAAGACCUCAAACCGCUCUUCGAGGAGUUUGGGAAGAUCUAUGAACUGACAGUGCUGAAGGACAGGUUCACUGGCAUGCACAAAGGCUGUGCCUUCCUAACGUACUGCGAAAGGGAGUCUGCUCUAAAGGCCCAGAGUGCCCUGCAUGAACAGAAGACUCUGCCAGGGAUGAACAGACCGAUCCAGGUGAAACCAGCAGACAGCGAAAGCCGAGGAGAAGAUAGAAAACUCUUUGUGGGCAUGCUCAAUAAGCAGCAGUCAGAAGAUGAUGUGCGCAGGCUAUUCGAGGCGUUUGGCAACAUCGAGGAGUGCACGAUCCUUCGGGGACCCGAUGGCAACAGCAAAGGGUGUGCAUUUGUGAAAUACUCUUCACAUGCAGAGGCCCAAGCAGCCAUCAAUGCCUUGCAUGGCAGCCAGACAAUGCCGGGAGCCUCUUCAAGCCUGGUGGUGAAGUUUGCAGAUACGGACAAGGAGCGUACAAUGAGACGCAUGCAGCAAAUGGCAGGACAAAUGGGCAUGUUCAACCCCAUGGCCAUCCAGUUUGGAGCAUAUGGCGCCUAUGCACAGGCACUGAUGCAGCAGCAAGCCGCGAUCAUGGCGUCAGUGGCGCAGGGCGGCUACCUGAACCCCAUGGCAGCCUUUGCUGCAGCCCAGAUGCAGCAAAUGGCAGCCCUGAACAUGAACGGGCUGGCUGCCGCUCCCAUGACACCAACCUCAGGAGAGUGGGUUCCUUGGGACAUGGCCAUGAGUUCAUUCAGGCUCACGAGUUCCCAUGGUGGAAGCACGCCUCCUGGCAUAACUGCACCAGCUGUGCCUAGCAUCCCAUCUCCAAUUGGGGUGAAUGGUUUCACUGGCCUCCCGCCGCAGGCUAAUGGGCAGCCCGCCGCCGAAGCCGUGUUUGCUAAUGGCAUUCACCCUUACCCAGCACAAAGCCCCACUGCAGCAGACCCCUUGCAGCAAGCCUACGCUGGAGUGCAGCAGUACGCAGGUCCUGCUUAUCCUGCUGCUUAUGGCCAGAUUAGCCAAGCCUUCCCACAGCCACCUCCCAUGAUCCCACAGCAACAGAGAGAAGGCAGUGGGGAGCAGUGGGAUCCUCAGAGGCAACCCGCUCAGGUGGUCCCAGUCAUCCUCCAGAGAAUCACUGCUCCCUUUGGACAAGAGGACCCUGCUUGCCUAAGUGAGGCAUUUAAGUCAGGACCAGAGGGCUGUAACCUGUUUAUCUACCAUCUGCCCCAGGAGUUUGGGGAUGCUGAGCUGAUGCAGAUGUUCCUGCCUUUCGGUAAUGUCAUCUCCUCGAAAGUGUUUGUGGAUCGGGCGACAAACCAAAGUAAAUGCUUUGGUUUUGUGAGUUUUGACAAUCCUGCCAGUGCCCAAGCUGCUAUCCAGGCCAUGAAUGGCUUCCAAAUUGGCAUGAAGAGGCUGAAGGUGCAGCUGAAGAGGCCAAAGGAUGCUAACCGUCCCUACUGAAGAAUUGUGGGAACAACUGGAUACAAAGCACUAGCACAGAGCCAGUCAAAUCCACCACAGUCUCGCGCUGAGCUAGGAAAAAAGUUCACGUAAUGACAUGAAAGUGGAGAAUACAGUCCCCCAGGCCGGCAGCAGCUGAAUGGGCUACAUUUAGAAAAAAAAAAAAGUAUAUAUAUAUUAAAAAAAAACAGGAACUGUUGGAUUACACCUUUGACAUAUCAGCAAAUAUCAAUCAAGCUGAAGACUUCAGAAUUAUUCUCUCUUUGAUUGUUUAGACUGUAACAUUUCUUCAAGGAAAGUAUCACAUCUGCUGACUUCGAAGGACAUGCGCUUGAAAACAAACAAACAAAUACAUAAGUAAAAUCAGAACAGGAUCAAGAUCAACCAGGAUUUCUGAAGAGACACUGAUAUCACCACAGCGGCUUUUCUUCAAACAGGAGAUGCAAACCUGGAUACUGGCAAAGGAGUGCCUGUUUGCCACCAAGGAUGCGGUUAUCAUGUGUGACCCAUGGUAACAGUCACUGAGCAUCUUUAUCUGUCAUUCCUUAGCUAUAUGGGGACCAAAGGACAAAACUUUUUACCGCAGACUUGUAGCUGUAUGUAAAAUAUGGAAGUUCUUUCCUUUUCUCUGAGCUGUUCCUAAAACAGUUUUUGAGAGCGAUUAUAAGAAAUAUGUAAAAAUUAAAAAAAAAAAUAAUAAUAACGCUUAAAUGCUUUUAAAACGGCAAGAUAAUAGUUCUUUGAUACUUUGGGAGGUUCUUUGGUUAUACAUUAAUUAGAGUCUAUGAAGCUUUCAUAUGGUUUUCUGUAUAAUACGUAAGGAUUGCGCUGUUAAAGGCAGGUAAGAUGGAUAUCUAUGAAAAGCAAAAAAGUAAAUAAAUAAAUACAUAAAUAAAUACAUUAAAAGGCAUAGAGAAGAGAAAGGAAAGAUGGUUGAUAUUAAAUGGAAAACAAAAAAAGGUUUGUAAAUGCUUCUAACUCUCCCCAUUUAAAAUCCUAAUAGUUGUACAGAAUUUAAAAAAAGAAAGUUUAAAAUACCUAUAUAAUAGAAAAAAUUAGACAACAUAAAAAGAAAAAAAUAAAAAAAGCAAAAAAAAAAAUAACUACAUAGAAGUUAGCGUUAAUGCUAAAAACAAAGAUGUUGUAGAACUGUAAUUUUUUGUAGAGUUUAGAUUGAGCAUAAAUUCCUACUCUCUGCCAAUUGCUGUUGGAUGCUGUUAUUUAUCGAGGAGAAAGAGGAGAGAAAUGGCUAUUUUGGCAGCUUUUUUAACUGCGAGCAUUCCAGCUAUUAAAAAAAAAUAAACGAAACGAAACUCAAUUCUGUAGACAAUGCAAAUGGGAAAAAAAGAAAAAAAAAAAAACAGCUGUCUUUUUAUCAGACGUUAGUUCUAACUUGAACAAUGAAACACAGCUAAACGCUUCAUGUCUUCAUGAUCUGCUGUCCGCAAAAUUCCCAUCAUCCUAUGCUUUAGUAGCUUCCAUAUUUGCUCUAGAAACCUUCAGGGCAAGGUGUUAGCCUAGAACCUUAAUCUUAAAAAAUAAAAAUAAAAAAAGAAUAAAAAAAAUAAAAAAGAAAAAAUAAACAAAAAAAAACAUAAGGAAACAAUCUCUUUGAAGAACUUCUGAAACUGUUUACAAGGAAUUUUGAAAAAACAGGGGGAUGUUUAAAAAAAAUAAAGAUGCUGGCUCUGUUUCUCUGUAAAUAAAUUUGCAUAUUUUGUAGGACUUUUAAUUGUAAUGAUAGAGAAAAACAAGGAAAACUAUUUAAUGAAAGCACGAUAUUUAUCUUUGGUAAAUGACUUUAGAGCAGUUAAAAAAUAAGACAUUGCUUUAAAAAAUCUGACUCAGAAAAACAAUGAAUUAUUUAAGAACACAUAUAUUUUAAAGUAUAUCAUAUUUAUUAUAAUUUAUUUUCACAGUCUUAAAACUUGAUUUACAUCAUUCUCACACUUGUUGCAUUGAUUGAGCAGUGUGAUAAUUGUUUCUGAUCCUUUAUAUGGUUUUACUGUUUUAAUGUUCUUGUUUGGUUUCCUUACUGUUUUUUAUCUUGAUCUCAAACUUUCUUCCUUUCUCUUUUUUUUUUUUUUUUUUUUAAUUUUGUUAUUUUUAUUUUAAUUUUAAUUCCCUAACGGGCCUCAUCUUACGAGUCCUUCUCCUGUCAGAACUCCCAUGGGGAUUUAGAGGGUUUUCUACAUGAGUAAGAACUCAGUCAGACUGAGCCCACAGCUAGGAAGUACAGAUGUGUAACGCAGCUGCAGUUCCAUACAACUGCUCUUUCACUCUCAAUUCCCUAAAACUCCUUGUAAUCUUCUGUAAUUAUUGAAUGACGCUUUCCAGCUUAGCCCUAAAUAAAGCACAGUUUAAAAAAAAAAAAAAAAAAAA